RNAcentral lists this ribosomal RNA (395 nucleotides) under uncultured bacterium. RNAcentral's name for it is "partial 16S ribosomal RNA". It matches the Rfam family "Bacterial small subunit ribosomal RNA", at positions 523 to 917 of the family's 1533-position model. The record is from RNAcentral.
AUACGUAGGUGGCAAGCGUUAUCCGGAAUUACUGGGUGUAAAGGGAGCGUAGGCGGGCGUGCAAGUCAGAUGUGAAAUACCGGGGCUCAACUCCGGGGCUGCAUUUGAAACUGUAUGUCUUGAGUGAUGUAGAGGUAAGCGGAAUUCCUAGUGUAGCGGUGAAAUGCGUAGAUAUUAGGAGGAACACCAGUGGCGAAGGCGGCUUACUGGGCAUUUACUGACGCUGAGGCUCGAAAGCGUGGGGAGCAAACAGGAUUAGAUACCCUGGUAGUCCACGCGGUAAACGAUGAUUACUAGGUGUGGGAGGACUGACCCCUUCCGUGCCGCAGUUAACACAAUAAGUAUUCCACCUGGGGAGUACGCCGGCAACGGUGAAACUUAAAGGAAUUGACGGG